UGGGGAAUUUUGGACAAUGGGGGCAACCCUGAUCCAGCAAUGCCGCGUGAGUGAAGAAGGCCUUCGGGUUGUAAAGCUCUUUUGUCAGGGAAGAAACGGUAGUAGCGAAUAACUAUUACUAAUGACGGUACCUGAAGAAUAAGCACCGGCUAACUACGUGCCAGCAGCCGCGGUAAUACGUAGGGUGCAAGCGUUAAUCGGAAUUACUGGGCGUAAAGCGUGCGCAGGCGGUUUGGUAAGACAGAUGUGAAAUCCCCGGGCUUAACCUGGGAACUGCAUUUGUGACUGCCAGACUAGAGUGUAGCAGAGGGGGGUAGAAUUCCACGUGUAGCAGUGAAAUGCGUAGAUAUGUGGAGGAAUACCGAUGGCGAAGGCAGCCCCCUGGGCUAACACUGACGCUCAUGCACGAAAGCGUGGGGAGCAAACAGGAUUAGAUACCCGGGUAGUCCCUGAGCGGGCUGGCAAGGCGCAU
Molecule: ribosomal RNA, 472 nt
Filed under: uncultured bacterium
Lineage: Bacteria
Description: bacterial SSU rRNA
Rfam family: Bacterial small subunit ribosomal RNA
Source: RNAcentral